UUUUGUACAGUAAUAUUUUCUAACUCUAAUCCGACGAUGGAGAUGGGUUAGGGGUGUUACACUAUCACCUAUUUACAGUGUAAUAGAAUGAACUAAUAAGUUUAACAUUAAACAACCUAAAUUCGAUUACUGUCGAAUUAAAUUUACAAUUCAAACACAGAAUCCUAUUUACAUGCUCCUAGCCAAUCACUUGUAUUGCUACAAGCUCACACACAAACAAACACACACAAAAAAUUAACGAAAAAAACUAGUAAAAACAAAAAAAAAUUGAAAAUUUUCUAGGUUACCCCCACACUUUUUU
RNAcentral lists this long non-coding RNA (301 nucleotides) under Gossypium raimondii (Peruvian cotton). RNAcentral describes it as "long non-coding RNA (GRAI_LNC004579)". Lineage: Eukaryota; Viridiplantae; Streptophyta; Magnoliopsida; Malvales; Malvaceae. The record is from RNAcentral.